This 497-nucleotide ribosomal RNA is filed under the name uncultured bacterium. RNAcentral's name for it is "partial 16S ribosomal RNA". It matches the Rfam family "Bacterial small subunit ribosomal RNA", at positions 28 to 507 of the family's 1533-position model. The record is from RNAcentral.
GAUGAACGCUGGCGGCGUGCCUAAUACAUGCAAGUCGAGCGAACGGACGAGAAGCUUGCUUCUCUGAUGUUAGCGGCGGACGGGUGAGUAACACGUGGAUAACAUACCUAUAAGACUGGGAUAACUUCGGGAAACCGGAGCUAAUACUGGAUAAUAUUUUGUACCGGAUGGUUCAAAAGUGAUAGACGGUCUUGCUGUCACUUAUAGAUGGUUUCGCGUUGCAUUGGCGAGUUGGUAAGGUAACGGCUUACCAAGGCAACGAUGCAUAGCCGACCUGAGAGGAUGAUCAGCCACACUGGAACUGAGACACGGUCCAGACUCCUACGGGAGGCAGCAGUAGGGAAUCUUCCACAAUGGGCGAAAGCCUGACCCAGCAACGCCGCGUGAGUGAAGAAGGCCUUCGGAUCGUAAAACCCUGUUAUUAGGAAAGAACAUAUGCAGAAUAAACUGUGGCCAUCUUGACGGUACCUAAUCAAAAAGCACCGGCUAACUACGUG